GAUUAAGAACGUAGCGAAAUGCGAUAAGUAGUGUGAAUUGCAGAAUUCAGUGAAUCAUCGAAUCUUUGAACGCACAUUGCGCCCCUUGGUAUUCCGAGGGGCAUGCCUGUUCGAGCGUCAUUAUAACCCCUCAAGCUCAGCUUGGUGUUGGGGCCUGCUGCACUGGCAGCCCUUAAAAUCAGUGGCGGCGCCAUCUGGCUCUAAGCGUAGUAAUUCUUCUCGCUAUGGAGUCCUGGUGGAUGCUUGCCAUCAACCCCCAAUUUUUCUAUGGUUGACCUCGGAUCAGGUAGGGAUACCCGCUGAACUUAAGCAUAUCAAUAAGCGGAGGA
RNAcentral lists this unclassified non-coding RNA (329 nucleotides) under soil metagenome. RNAcentral's name for it is "partial contains 5.8S ribosomal RNA, internal transcribed spacer 2, and large subunit ribosomal RNA". The stretch from base 1 to 120 matches the Rfam family "5.8S ribosomal RNA", at positions 35 to 154 of the family's 154-position model. The record is from RNAcentral.